CGUAAAGCGCGCGUAGGCGGAUCAGAAAGUUGGGGGUGAAAUCCCGGGGCUCAACCUCGGAACUGCCUUCAAAACUCCUAGUCUAGAGUUCGAGAGAGGUGAGUGGAACUCCGAGUGUAGAGGUGAAAUUCGUAGAUAUUCGGAAGAACACCAGUGGCGAAGGCGGCUCACUGGCUCGAUACUGACGCUGACGGUGCGAAAGUGUGGGGAGCAAACAGGAUUAGAUACCCUGGUAG
This 236-nucleotide ribosomal RNA is filed under the name uncultured bacterium. RNAcentral describes it as "partial 16S ribosomal RNA". It matches the Rfam family "Bacterial small subunit ribosomal RNA", at positions 559 to 793 of the family's 1533-position model. The record is from RNAcentral.